UGGGGAAUAUUGCACAAUGGGCGCAAGCCUGAUGCAGCCAUGCCGCGUGUAUGAAGAAGGCCUUCGGGUUGUAAAGUACUUUCAGCGGGGAGGAAGGCGAUAAGGUUAAUAACCUUGUCGAUUGACGUUACCCGCAGAAGAAGCACCGGCUAACUCCGUGCCAGCAGCCGCGGUAAUACGGAGGGUGCAAGCGUUAAUCAGAAUUACUGGGCGUAAAGCGCACGCAGGCGGUCUGUCAAGUCGGAUGUGAAAUCCCCGGGCUCAACCUGGGAACUGCAUUCGAAACUGGCAGGCUAGAGUCUUGUAGAGGGGGGUAGAAUUCCAGGUGUAGCGGUGAAAUGCGUAGAGAUCUGGAGGAAUACCGGUGGCGAAGGCGGCCCCCUGGACAAAGACUGACGCUCAGGUGCGAAAGCGUGGGGAGCAAACA
This 427-nucleotide ribosomal RNA is filed under the name uncultured bacterium. RNAcentral's name for it is "partial 16S ribosomal RNA". It matches the Rfam family "Bacterial small subunit ribosomal RNA", at positions 355 to 774 of the family's 1533-position model. The record is from RNAcentral.